Molecule: ribosomal RNA, 1015 nt
Filed under: uncultured bacterium
Lineage: Bacteria
Description: bacterial SSU rRNA
Rfam family: Bacterial small subunit ribosomal RNA
Source: RNAcentral
AUGCAGUCGAACGGUCUCUUCGGAGAUAGUGGCGGACGGGUGAGUAACGCGUGAGAACAUGCCUUUAGAUUGGGGACAACAGUUGGAAACGACUGCUAAUACCGAAUGCGCCUUAGGGUGAAAGAUUUAUUGUCUAGAGAUUGGCUCGCGUCAGAUUAGCUAGUUGGAGUGGUAACGGCACACCAAGGCGACGAUCUGUACUUGGUCUGAGAGGAUGACCAGGCACACUGGAACUGAGACACGGUCCAGACUCCUACGGGAGGCAGCAGUGGGGAAUUUUCCGCAAUGGGCGAAAGCCUGACGGAGCAAUACCGCGUGAGGGAGGACGGCUUUUGGGUUGUAAACCUCUUUUAUCAGGGAAGAAUCGAUGACGGUACCUGAUGAAUCAGCAUCGGCUAACUCCGUGCCAGCAGCCGCGGUAAUACGGAGGAUGCAAGCGUUAUCCGGAAUUAUUGGGCGUAAAGCGUCCGUAGGUGGUUUAUCAAGUCUGCUGUCAAAGCGUGCGGCUUAACCGCAUAAGGGCAGUGGAAACUGAUGAACUAGAGUGCGAUAGGGGUAACAGGAAUUCCCAGUGUAGCGGUGAAAUGCGUAGAUAUUGGGAAGAACACCAGCGGCGAAAGCGUGUUACUGGGUCUGCACUGACACUGAGGGACGAAAGCUAGGGGAGCGAAAGGGAUUAGAUACCCCUGUAGUCCUAGCCGUAAACGAUGACAACUAGGCGUGGUUCGUAUCGACCCGAGCCGUGCCGUAGCCAACGCGUUAAGUUGUCCGCCUGGGGAGUACGCACGCAAGUGUGAAACUCAAAGGAAUUGACGGGGGCCCGCACAAGCGGUGGAGUAUGUGGUUUAAUUCGAUGCAACGCGAAGAACCUUACCAAGGCUUGACAUCCUCGGAACCCUGAUGAAAGUUAGGGGUGCCUUCGGGAGCCGAGAGACAGGUGGUGCAUGGCUGUCGUCAGCUCGUGUCGUGAGAUGUUGGGUUAAGUCCCGCAACGAGCGCAACCCACGUUUUUAGU